Molecule: long non-coding RNA, 2649 nt
Organism: Mastomys coucha (southern multimammate mouse)
Lineage: Eukaryota; Metazoa; Chordata; Mammalia; Rodentia; Muridae
Exons: 2
Source: RefSeq, a predicted model, not a curated record
CAUGUCCGUGGGAAGUAUCUUGAAGGUCAUUUGGGUACAGGAAAUUGGGUUGCCUUCAGUUACGUUAAAAGGGAAAUGUGUCAUACAUAUCUGCUUGAGAAGGGUCUUAGGACCCUAGAGAGAAAAGACUACAGACAGAAACAAGAGAAGAAGGUGGGCCGCCCAUGCCAACUGCUCUCCAGCCUUUUGACACCUGCGUGGUAAGCGCAAAGAAACAUCCUAGCUGAGCCUCAACAGACCAGACACGCUUGGCUGCAGCCAGGAGGACCGCAGGCAGCAACCCGUGCAUCCCCCUGCGCAGCGGAAGACUCAGAGCCUGGGUCGCCUCCGCUUUAGAUUCCAGUGAGUUUUCUAACUUUGAGUUGAGGACAUCAUCUAACCUUUCUGAGCCUGAAUGUGACAGCCACUGAGAUACACCAUUCAUACCACACAGCAUUAGUAUUCAUGCAAGAGCUCUGUGUCCCAGCUGUGGGAAGACUAGUGACCAGCUUUUAGCUGAGAGCCUCUCCAGAGAGCUACCAUGCCAAAGUGGGAGGAUUCCAGUUUCAGGGUCUGGUGGAGGCGAGGCAGUUUGUACGGAUCUCCCCAUUCCUGCCAACUCAUUCUAACUUGAGUGGACCAUGCUAGCUGUAGGGCUCCAGCACUGUCCGAUCAGUUCCACCAAACUCUACUCCUCUAUCAAACUCUCUUCUACAGAAGCGGAUCCCAAGGAAACCUAAAAGACAUUUUGCGUGCUACACUCUACCUGGGCUGAGCCUAAUACUCCAUUUCUGCUUGUGUGAAAGGCGUGGCAAUUCUACCAUUGCUAAGCUCUUUUUGAAGUCCAAGAACAAAGCAAGAAAACACCUGGCCGUACUUCGAACCUUACACUUGAAGGGGUACCAUCUUCUUCCAACAAAAGAAGGACAACCACAGCCCGCCUGCCUCCCUUCCUUUCUUACCCCACACCCGAUGGUUUUCUGAACAAUGGCAUCUACACGUCUCUAAGAUGCUGGGUUUUUUUCUAGGGACAAAUGGUCACAGGUGCCCCUUUCCUGAAGCUGCAACUCAAGGCAUUGGGAGCCACAGAGACCUGGUGACUUGUGGAUUCAUUCAGUGGAACUAGGAGAGCCAAAGGUACCCUCAUGGGAAAACACCAAAGCCAGUGGGAUUCCAACCCAAACACACCUUAAAGGAAAAGCUUUUGCUCUAUCUUGGUCACAGAAUAACACAUCUUUAUUUGAGAGACAUAUAUCACUGAAGGAAGGCAUAAAAAACGCCAUUCCCCUGCAUCCGAUCACCUUCUCCUCUGCCGCUGUUAACAGCAGCGACAGUGUUGGGGAUGGGAGGGGUUCCCUGUCACGCCCCCUGUGCGUCUGUACGUAUGGGAUGGGUGGAACCCUGAGUAAGAUAUAGUGGAAAUAAAAUGGGGUCCUGCCACCUCCUCUGAAUAUUCUUCUACAUACUUCAGCUUCCUCGACAAUGUCAGGUUGCCCUAGCAUAUGGAUGUCCCAAGGUGACCUGGCUAAUGCCCAAAGGCUUAGCACAGGAACCAGCUAGCAAGCCAGGUCCCUGACCAGUUUCUCUGUGUACUGGUCACAUGACUUUGGCAAGGAACCUUCCAGGGCCUUACUUAUUUUGAUAUGAUAUACAUAAAAAUUAGAUGUGAUGAUGUGGUGAAAUAAUACAUUACAUUAAGGUUAAUUAGUAAUCACCAGUGCCUAUUAUUACAGAGUAGGGAUUGCAAAUUUGAAGUCUACAGGGGCACUAGCUAGGCAAGGCCUCCAGCUACAUCUAGCAGACAAUGAAAGGGGCAGAACUGACUGCAGAGCACCUGCCACAUUUAAAUUUGCCCACACAGGAAAAAACAAAAAAGUGAACCAAAUUUCCCUGGCUGGCUCCUAACUUCCAGCUGUCAUCUAGGAUCAAGCAUGCUUACCAUGACUGCUCUCAUAGUGCUGAGGCCGAGGGCGGGUUAAUGGCCAAACCCCAAGCUUUCUAAGGAGACUAAGUGUCUCAAGGAAACCCUCACCACUCCCCUUACCUUCCAAGCUCCACUGGUGCCUGUCCUUCCCAAACUUGGCGCCUUCCACGGCCUGAGCCACGGCUUCCUUGAGUUGCUGUUCAGAGACCUGGAAAACAUCCAUGACCAGCUCCAGCAAGAAGUGAGGCAGGCCCGGCAGAUUCCGAAGACUGAACCUGCCAUGCCCGUGCAUGGCUUCCACUUUCCACUCUGCAAGAGCUGACGAACCAGCUUCCGGAAGUGCCCUGAGCAAGACCCUGCCCUCAGGGUCUUCCUGGUGUUGAUCAGUGUCCAUCAAUAAAGGUGUCACCAGUGGUCACCUUGGUUCUCAAACCUUCUCAGCAGGGCAAAACUCCCAGCAUCCACGUGGUGGCUAACAAUUGUUUGUAACUGUAGAAUCAAGGAAUGUGACACCCUCUUUUGGCUACCUUGGGUACUGCAUGAGCACAGUGCACAGACACAAGCAGGCAAACACCCAUACACAUAAAGUAAAAGAGUCAAGUGCGAGUCAAGGAGUGAAGCAGACUUAUACCCCACCCCAGUUUCUUCAUAGACUAGACGCAGACACUGAGACACACAGCUUAACCUUCUAAAUCUCAACUUCUUGUUCUAUAAACUAUAACAAUAAACUCUUUGCAGUAUGGAAA